This 324-nucleotide ribosomal RNA is filed under the name uncultured eukaryote. Its description in RNAcentral is "partial 18S ribosomal RNA". It matches the Rfam family "Eukaryotic small subunit ribosomal RNA", at positions 1470 to 1796 of the family's 1831-position model. The record is from RNAcentral.
CCCUUAGAUGUUCUGGGCCGCACGCGCGCUACACUGAUGCAUUCAACGAGUUUCUUCCUGGUCCGAGAGGAAUGGGUAACCUUUUGAAAGUGCAUCGUGAUAGGGAUAGACUAUUGCAAUUAUUGGUCUUCAACGAGGAAUUCCUAGUAGACGUAGUUCAUCAGACUGCAUCGAUUACGUCCCUGCCCUUUGUACACACCGCCCGUCGCUCCUACCGAUUGAAUGCUCAGGUGAGCCAUUCGGACCUUCAUCAUGCCGGUUUCCGGUUUUGAUGAGAGAAAGUCUUGCGAACCUUAUCAUUUAGAGGAAGGAGAAGUCGUAACA